Molecule: long non-coding RNA, 2573 nt
Filed under: Homo sapiens (human)
Lineage: Eukaryota; Metazoa; Chordata; Mammalia; Primates; Hominidae
Description: X inactive specific transcript
Source: RNAcentral
AUAAUACAACAAGUGAGAGCUCUUCAUUGUUCCUAUCUGCCAAAUCAUUAUACUUCCUACAAGCAGUGCAGAGAGCUGAGUCUUCAGCAGGUCCAAGAAAUUUGAACACACUGAAGGAAGUCAGCCUUCCCACCUGAAGAUCAACAUGCCUGGCACUCUAGCACUUGAGGAUAGCUGAAUGAAUGUGUAUUUCUUUGUCUCUUUCUUUCUUGUCUUUGCUCUUUGUUCUCUAUCUAAAGUGUGUCUUACCCAUUUCCAUGUUUCUCUUGCUAAUUUCUUUCGUGUGUGCCUUUGCCUCAUUUUCUCUUUUUGUUCACAAGAGUGGUCUGUGUCUUGUCUUAGACAUAUCUCUCAUUUUUCAUUUUGUUGCUAUUUCUCUUUGCUCUCCUAGAUGUGGCUCUUCUUUCACGCUUUAUUUCAUGUCUCCUUUUUGGGUCACAUGCUGUGUGCUUUUUGUCCUUUUCUUGUUCUGUCUACCUCUCCUUUCUCUGCCUACCUCUCUUUUCUCUUUGUGAACUGUGAUUAUUUGUUACCCCUUCCCCUUCUCGUUCGUUUUAAAUUUCACCUUUUUUCUGAGUCUGGCCUCCUUUCUGCUGUUUCUACUUUUUAUCUCACAUUUCUCAUUUCUGCAUUUCCUUUCUGCCUCUCUUGGGCUAUUCUCUCUCUCCUCCCCUGCGUGCCUCAGCAUCUCUUGCUGUUUGUGAUUUUCUAUUUCAGUAUUAAUCUCUGUUGGCUUGUAUUUGUUCUCUGCUUCUUCCCUUUCUACUCACCUUUGAGUAUUUCAGCCUCUUCAUGAAUCUAUCUCCCUCUCUUUGAUUUCAUGUAAUCUCUCCUUAAAUAUUUCUUUGCAUAUGUGGGCAAGUGUACGUGUGUGUGUGUCAUGUGUGGCAGAGGGGCUUCCUAACCCCUGCCUGAUAGGUGCAGAACGUCGGCUAUCAGAGCAAGCAUUGUGGAGCGGUUCCUUAUGCCAGGCUGCCAUGUGAGAUGAUCCAAGACCAAAACAAGGCCCUAGACUGCAGUAAAACCCAGAACUCAAGUAGGGCAGAAGGUGGAAGGCUCAUAUGGAUAGAAGGCCCAAAGUAUAAGACAGAUGGUUUGAGACUUGAGACCCGAGGACUAAGAUGGAAAGCCCAUGUUCCAAGAUAGAUAGAAGCCUCAGGCCUGAAACCAACAAAAGCCUCAAGAGCCAAGAAAACAGAGGGUGGCCUGAAUUGGACCGAAGGCCUGAGUUGGAUGGAAGUCUCAAGGCUUGAGUUAGAAGUCUUAAGACCUGGGACAGGACACAUGGAAGGCCUAAGAACUGAGACUUGUGACACAAGGCCAACGACCUAAGAUUAGCCCAGGGUUGUAGCUGGAAGACCUACAACCCAAGGAUGGAAGGCCCCUGUCACAAAGCCUACCUAGAUGGAUAGAGGACCCAAGCGAAAAAGGUAUCUCAAGACUAACGGCCGGAAUCUGGAGGCCCAUGACCCAGAACCCAGGAAGGAUAGAAGCUUGAAGACCUGGGGAAAUCCCAAGAUGAGAACCCUAAACCCUACCUCUUUUCUAUUGUUUACACUUCUUACUCUUAGAUAUUUCCAGUUCUCCUGUUUAUCUUUAAGCCUGAUUCUUUUGAGAUGUACUUUUUGAUGUUGCCGGUUACCUUUAGAUUGACAGUAUUAUGCCUGGGCCAGUCUUGAGCCAGCUUUAAAUCACAGCUUUUACCUAUUUGUUAGGCUAUAGUGUUUUGUAAACUUCUGUUUCUAUUCACAUCUUCUCCACUUGAGAGAGACACCAAAAUCCAGUCAGUAUCUAAUCUGGCUUUUGUUAACUUCCCUCAGGAGCAGACAUUCAUAUAGGUGAUACUGUAUUUCAGUCCUUUCUUUUGACCCCAGAAGCCCUAGACUGAGAAGAUAAAAUGGUCAGGUUGUUGGGGAAAAAAAAGUGCCAGGCUCUCUAGAGAAAAAUGUGAAGAGAUGCUCCAGGCCAAUGAGAAGAAUUAGACAAGAAAUACACAGAUGUGCCAGACUUCUGAGAAGCACCUGCCAGCAACAGCUUCCUUCUUUGAGCUUAGUCCAUCCCUCAUGAAAAAUGACUGACCACUGCUGGGCAGCAGGAGGGAUGAUGACCAACUAAUUCCCAAACCCCAGUCUCAUUGGUACCAGCCUUGGGGAACCACCUACACUUGAGCCACAAUUGGUUUUGAAGUGCAUUUACAAGUUUCUGGCAUCACUACCACUACUGAUUAAACAAGAAUAAGAGAACAUUUUAUCAUCAUCUGCUUUAUUCACAUAAAUGAAGUUGUGAUGAAUAAAUCUGCUUUUAUGCAGACACAAGGAAUUAAGUGGCUUCGUCAUUGUCCUUCUACCUCAAAGAUAAUUUAUUCCAAAAGCUAAGAUAAAUGGAAGACUCUUGAACUUGUGAACUGAUGUGAAAUGCAGAAUCUCUUUUGAGUCUUUGCUGUUUGGAAGAUUGAAAAAUAUUGUUCAGCAUGGGUGACCACCAGAAAGUAAUCUUAAGCCAUCUAGAUGUCACAAUUGAAACAAACUGGGGAGUUGGUUGCUAUUGUAAAAUAAAAUAUACUGUUUUGAAAA